This 485-nucleotide ribosomal RNA is filed under the name uncultured bacterium. RNAcentral's name for it is "bacterial SSU rRNA". It matches the Rfam family "Bacterial small subunit ribosomal RNA", at positions 28 to 503 of the family's 1533-position model. The record is from RNAcentral.
GAUGAACGCUAGCGAUAGGCCUAACACAUGCAAGUCGAGGGGCAUCACAUGAAGUAGCAAUACGGAUGGUGGCGACCGGCGCACGGGUGAGUAACACGUAUGCAACCUGCCUUCAACAAGGGGAUAACCCGUUGAAAGACGGACUAAUACCCUAUAACACAGGGGUCCCGCAUGGGAAUAUUUGUUAAAGGACAACCGGUUGAAGAUGGGCAUGCGUUCCAUUAGCUAGUUGGCGGGGUAACGGCCCACCAAGGCAACGAUGGAUAGGGGAACUGAGAGGUUUAUCCCCCACACUGGUACUGAGACACGGACCAGACUCCUACGGGAGGCAGCAGUGAGGAAUAUUGGUCAAUGGACGCAAGUCUGAACCAGCCACGUCGCGUGAAGGAAGACGGCCCUACGGGUUGUAAACUUCUUUUAACGGGAAUAAAGUGCCCCACGCGUGGGGUUUUGCAUGUACCGUAUGAAUAAGGAUCGGCUAACUC